RNAcentral lists this ribosomal RNA (734 nucleotides) under uncultured endophytic bacterium. RNAcentral describes it as "bacterial SSU rRNA". It matches the Rfam family "Bacterial small subunit ribosomal RNA", at positions 770 to 1502 of the family's 1533-position model. The record is from RNAcentral.
UAACAGGAUUAGAUACCCUGGUAGUCCACCCCGUAAACGUUGGGAACUAGUUGUGGGGUCCAUUCCACGGAUUCCGUGACGCAGCUAACGCAUUAAGUUCCCCGCCUGGGGAGUACGGCCGCAAGGCUAAAACUCAAAGGAAUUGACGGGGACCCGCACAAGCGGCGGAGCAUGCGGAUUAAUUCGAUGCAACGCGAAGAACCUUACCAAGGCUUGACAUAUAGAGGAAACGUCUGGAAACAGUCGCCCCGCAAGGUCUCUAUACAGGUGGUGCAUGGUUGUCGUCAGCUCGUGUCGUGAGAUGUUGGGUUAAGUCCCGCAACGAGCGCAACCCUCGUUCUAUGUUGCCAGCACGUAAUGGUGGGAACUCAUGGGAUACUGCCGGGGUCAACUCGGAGGAAGGUGGGGAUGACGUCAAAUCAUCAUGCCCCUUAUGUCUUGGGCUUCACGCAUGCUACAAUGGCCGGUACAAAGGGCUGCAAUACCGUAAGGUGGAGCGAAUCCCAAAAAGCCGGUCCCAGUUCGGAUUGAGGUCUGCAACUCGACCUCAUGAAGUCGGAGUCGCUAGUAAUCGCAGAUCAGCAACGCUGCGGUGAAUACGUUCCCGGGUCUUGUACACACCGCCCGUCAAGUCAUGAAAGUCGGUAACACCUGAAGCCGGUGGCCCAACCCUUGUGGAGGGAGCCGUCGAAGGUGGGAUCGGUAAUUAGGACUAAGUCGUAACAAGGUAACCA